UAGAGUGCUCCUAGUCCAUCAGUUCUGGUGUUGGAAAGUGCUUGUGGCAAGCUGAGACUGGCACCAAAAGCUGGCACGUUAGAGACACCGAAUACAUGGCCUAAGGUUCCCCACCAGCCUAGCAAUCCCCAGAUGAUUCCUGGGUGAGUACUCCAGUAGCUGCAAUUUAGAGGACAAUUCAUUGGUUACUUAACAGUAUCUGUAUGUCAUAUGAUAGUUUACCGUGCAAUGUAAUGAAGGGAACUUACUUGCAUGUACCAGUGAAAGGAGUUGGAGAAGGAAGGUAAGGGGGUGUGGAGGGGAUCGUGGGGGAGCCUGGGUCAAUAGGGAUUGAAGGUGGGCUCACAGUGAUUGGGGGGCUACCACCUCCAUAAGUUGGUGGUGAGUUGUAGUACCCACCACCUCCUGAGGGAGGAUUUGAUGGUGUUGAAGGGGUUGAUGGUGUCGUCGGGACUGAGGGCGUUGGAGUAGAGGGUUCUUGUGGUGGAGUUCCACAAUUGCUACCAUCAGGUGGCGAUGGGGUUGGAUUGUAACUUCCACCACCCUCAGGUGGCGAUGGGGUUGGAUCAUAGCUUCCACCACCUGGGGGAGUUGAUGGGGUUGGAUUGUAAUAUCCACCACCUGAGGGUGGUGAUGGGUUUGGGUCAUAACUUCCACCACCAGGGGGAGUUGAUGGAGUUGGAUUGUAACUUCCACCAUCAGGGGGAGUUGAUGGGGUUGGAUUGUAACUUCCACCAUCAGGGGGAGUUGAUGGGGUUGGAUUGUAACUUCCACUUCCACCACCGUCUGAGGGUGGUGAUGGGGUUGGGUCAUAGCUUCCACCACCUGGAGGAGUUGAUGGAGUUGGAUUGUAACUUCCAUCACCACCUGGGGGAGUUGAUGGGGUUGGAUUGUAACUUCCACUUCCACCACCUGAGGGUGGUGAUGGAGUUGGAUCAUAGCUUCCACCACCUGGGGGAGUGCAUGGGGUUGGAGUGGAACUUCCUCCACCUCCAUGCGAUGGGGAUCCAUGAUGUGAUGGGGAUCCAUGAUGUGAUGGAGUUCCAUGAUGAGAGUGUGAUCCAUGAUGAUGAGAAUGCGGGGUGCUUCCAUGACCACUGCCUCCAGAGCCAUGAGAUGGAGAGCAGUAUGAACCUUCAAGAAGUAAAAGCAACGUAUAAUGUUAGAUUACAAAGUUAAACGUCAAAGUGGUAUCUUUAUGAGCUUCUGAUCAUUUCAUACUUUCAAAUUUAAUGGCCUACUGUAGCUAUCAAGGAAAGUUGAAGAGCUCGUUAAUGUUAUCUUUAUAUAUUUUGCACCAACGAUGAAAC
Molecule: long non-coding RNA, 1310 nt
Filed under: Vigna radiata
Lineage: Eukaryota; Viridiplantae; Streptophyta; Magnoliopsida; Fabales; Fabaceae
Description: long non-coding RNA (VRAD_LNC004393)
Source: RNAcentral